RNAcentral lists this ribosomal RNA (486 nucleotides) under Treponema sp. oral taxon 251. RNAcentral describes it as "bacterial SSU rRNA". It matches the Rfam family "Bacterial small subunit ribosomal RNA", at positions 29 to 499 of the family's 1533-position model. Lineage: Bacteria; Pseudomonadati; Spirochaetota; Spirochaetia; Treponematales; Treponemataceae. The record is from RNAcentral.
AACGAACGCUGGCGGUGCGUCUUAAGCAUGCAAGUCGAACGGUAAGAAGAGAGCUUGCUCUUUUCCUAGAGUGGCGGACUGGUGAGUAACGCGUGGAUGAUCUACCUUUAAGAUGGGGAUAGCUUCUAGAAAUAGGAGAUAAUACCGAAUAACCUUAUCGUGUUAUGACGUGAUAAGAAAAUGGAGCGUUAGCUCCGCUUGAAGAUGAGUCUGCGUCCCAUUAGCUAGUUGGUAGGGUAAAGGCUUACCAAGGCGAUGAUGGGUAUCCGGCCUGAGAGGGUGAACGGACACAUUGGGACUGAGACACGGCCCAAACUCCUACGGGAGGCAGCAGCUGAGAAUCUUCCGCAAUGGACGAAAGUCUGACGGAGCGACACCGCGUGAACGAUGAAGGCCGGAAGGUUGUAAAUUCUUUUGCAGACAAAGAAUAAGGAUAGAAGGAAAUGACUAUCUGAUGACGGUAGUUAUGCGAAUAAGCCCCGGCUA